AAAUCAUGAUGCGGGCAUCUUCUCAACAGUUCCCCAAAUCGCUCUUGUGCCUCAAAUAAGGAUUUUGGUUCAUAUUGCUGGAAGCAACAUAUCUCUGUCAUAAGCUU
Abrus precatorius (Indian licorice) is the source of this 107-nucleotide small nucleolar RNA. The record is from RefSeq and is a predicted model, not a curated record. NCBI's taxonomy places the organism in Eukaryota, Viridiplantae, Streptophyta, Magnoliopsida, Fabales, Fabaceae.